GACGAACGCUGGCGGCGUGCUUAACACAUGCAAGUCGAACGGAAAGGCCCUGCUUUUGUGGCGUGCUCGAGUGGCGAACGGGUGAGUAACACGUGAGUAACCUGCCCUUGACUUUGGGAUAACUUCAGGAAACUGGGGCUAAUACCGGAUAGGAGCUCCUGCUGCAUGGUGGUGGUUAGAAAGUUUCGGCGGUUGGGGAUGGACUCGCGGCUUAUCAGCUUGUUGGUGGGGUAGUGGCUUACCAAGGCUUUGACGGAUAGGCGGCCUGGGAGGGUGACCGGCAACUAUGGUAAUAAGAAACGACCCAGAAUCCUAGGGGCGGCAGAGGUGGGAACUAUGGCACAAUGGGAGGAAGCCUGAUGCAACAAGGCCGCGUGCGGAAUGACGGCCUUCGGGUUGAAAACCACUUUCGCCUGUGACAAGGCGUUAGUGACGGUAACGGGUCAAGAAGCACCGGCUAACUACGUG
Molecule: ribosomal RNA, 468 nt
Filed under: uncultured bacterium
Lineage: Bacteria
Description: partial 16S ribosomal RNA
Rfam family: Bacterial small subunit ribosomal RNA
Source: RNAcentral